GACAGAGGGUGCAAACGUUGUUCGGAAUUACUGGGCGUAAAGCGCGUGUAGGCGGCUAUGCAAGUCGGAUGUGAAAGCCCUCGGCUCAACCGGGGAAGUGCACCCGAAACUGCAAAGCUAGAGUCUCGGAGAGGAUCGUGGAAUUCUCGGUGUAGAGGUGAAAUUCGUAGAUAUCGAGAGGAACACCGGUGGCGAAGGCGGGUCUCCUGGGCAGUAACUGACGCUGAGGAGCGAAAGCGUGGGGAGCGAACAGG
RNAcentral lists this ribosomal RNA (254 nucleotides) under uncultured bacterium. RNAcentral describes it as "partial 16S ribosomal RNA". It matches the Rfam family "Bacterial small subunit ribosomal RNA", at positions 524 to 776 of the family's 1533-position model. The record is from RNAcentral.